RNAcentral lists this long non-coding RNA (374 nucleotides) under Olea europaea subsp. europaea. The record is from RNAcentral. Lineage: Eukaryota; Viridiplantae; Streptophyta; Magnoliopsida; Lamiales; Oleaceae.
UAUUGGGCCUCAAAAUAUUGAAUUUAUAUUAGAAAAUUCAUAAUAAGGUUUCAUCAAUAACUUAGUAAUAAGAUUUAUAGUCUAACAUUGUGAAAUUACAAGAAAUCAUAGUUAAACAUCACCUGGAUUUUGAAUAAUAAAAGAAGAAGAUGAUGAUAAAUCUUGAAAUUUUAAAUCUCUUCAAUGAUCUCUUGAUGAAUUCCAACUGUGCAUCCCCUUCGUUACCCAAAAAUCAAACUUUGAUCUCCAAUGGAUGAAAAUCUUGCAAUUGCCUCUUGAUUUGCCCAAAAGUGUGUUGAUUUUGUCCUCUCUUUGAUGGAUAAAUUAUGAAGCAAAUUAGGCAAACUACCCCGAAACUCUCACUUUUGUUUACG